UGAAUACGAGAUGCUACGGCGUCGAAGCAGUGUAUGUCAGACUUCCAAGAAAAGCUCGCAAUGUCAUAAAUAAAUAAUGCCUGUACCAUAACCGACACAGGUGGGUAGGUAGAGUAUACUAAGGGGCGCGAGAUAACUCUCUCUAAGGAACUCGGCAAAAUAACUCCGUAACUUCGGGAGAAGGAGUGCCUUAUUUAUAAGGUUGCAAUAACAAGAUCUAAGCAACUGUUUAUCAAAAACACAGGUCUCCGCUAAGUCGUAAGACGAUGUAUGGGGGCUGACGCCUGCCCAGUGCCAGAAGGUUAAAGAAGUUGGUUAGCAUUGCGAAGCUGAUGACUGAAGCCCUGGUGAACGGCGGCCGUAACGAUAACGGUCCUAAGGUAGCGAAAUUCCUUGUCGGGUAAGUUCCGACCCGCACGAAAGGCGUAAUGAUUUGGAUACUGUCUCGGAGAGGGACUCGGUGAAAUAGACUUGUCUGUGAAGAUGCGGACUACCUGCACCAGGACAGAAAGACCCUAUGAAGCUUUACUGUAACUUGAAAUUGAAAUUGGACUUUAUUUGCGCAGUAUAGGUGGGAGGCGUUGAAAAUAAUCUCGCGGGAUUAUUGGAGCCAUCAGUGAGAUACCACUCCUAUAAUGUUAGAUUUCUAACUUUGUAUCAUUAUCUGGUCAAAGAACAGUUUCAGGCGGGCAGUUUGACUGGGGCGGUCGCCUCCUAAAUGGUAACGGAGGCGUACAAAGGUUUCCUCUGAACGGGUAGAAAUCGUAUCUAGAGUAUAAAGGCAUAAGGAAGCCUGACUGUGAGACCUACAAGUCGAGCAGGGACGAAAGUCGGUCUUAGUGAUCUGACGGUGCUGAGUGGAAAGGCCGUCACUCAACGGAUAAAAGUUACUCUAGGAUAACAGGCUGAUCUCCCCCAAGAGUUCACAUCGACGGGGAGGUUUGGCACCUCGAUGUCGGCUCAUCGCAUCCUGGGGCGGUAGUACGUCCCAAGGGUUGGGCUGUUCGCCCAUGAAAGCGGUACGCGAGCUGGGUUCAGAACGUCGUGAGACAGUUCGGUCCAUAUCCGGUGUAGGCGUUAGAAUAUUGAGAGGAGCCUUCUUUAGUACGAGAGGACCGAGAAGGACAUACCUCUGGUGUACCAGUUAUCGUGCCAACGGUAAACGCUGGGUAGCUAUGUAUGGAGUGGAUAACCGCUGAAAGCAUCUAAGUGGGAAGCCCACCUCAAGAUGAGUAUUCU
RNAcentral lists this ribosomal RNA (1239 nucleotides) under metagenome. Its description in RNAcentral is "bacterial LSU rRNA". It matches the Rfam family "Bacterial large subunit ribosomal RNA", at positions 1564 to 2814 of the family's 2925-position model. The record is from RNAcentral.